RNAcentral lists this long non-coding RNA (487 nucleotides) under Homo sapiens (human). RNAcentral describes it as "HSALNT0366376". The record is from RNAcentral. Lineage: Eukaryota; Metazoa; Chordata; Mammalia; Primates; Hominidae.
CCAGGCACCCUUGUCAGAGGUGGCUCACGCAGCCCAGCCCACCGGGGCCUUCCCUAUCCCCUCCCCUGCUGCUGUGCCUCCUUGGCCCUCAUCGCCAUCUGACAGUGUGCACUCGACUGUUGUGGCCUUUCGUCUGCCUCCUUCACUUGAAUGGGAGCCUCCUGGGGCAGGGGCUGCUCCUUUUGCUGCUGUUGCAUCUCCAGGCCUGCAGCCAGGCCUGCCCCGCAGUGGGUGUCAACACGCUCUGUGGAACGAGGGACGGAAUGAGGGACGUGAGUGAUCUGUGUGGAUGGAGGAGUGACUUGCAAUGGAAGCCUGCCAGCCAAGACAGCUGGGCCCCUGGGCCGUGAGAUACUUCAGACAGACACAAUUUCUCCCAGCGACAGGGGAGGAAGCCGAGGCCUUGAGAAGAAUCAUUUUUUGAGCACCAAAAGAAGAAACUGGUGGCGGGGCGCAGUGGCUCACACCUGUAAUCCCAGCACUUUGG